Molecule: small nuclear RNA, 107 nt
Organism: Suncus etruscus (white-toothed pygmy shrew)
Lineage: Eukaryota; Metazoa; Chordata; Mammalia; Eulipotyphla; Soricidae
Source: RefSeq, a predicted model, not a curated record
AUGCUCGCUUUGGCAGCAUAUAUACUAAAAUUGGAACGAUACAGAGAAGAUUAGCAUGGCCCCUGCACAAGAAUAAACCUUUCAAUGCAGCCUGUCUCACAGUGAAA